RNAcentral lists this ribosomal RNA (254 nucleotides) under uncultured bacterium. RNAcentral describes it as "partial 16S ribosomal RNA". It matches the Rfam family "Bacterial small subunit ribosomal RNA", at positions 524 to 776 of the family's 1533-position model. The record is from RNAcentral.
UACGGUAGGGGGCAAGCGUUGUCCGGAUUUAUUGGGCGUAAAGAGCGUGUAGGCGGCCUGACAAGUCUGCUGUGAAAACUCGAGGCUCAACCUCGAGAUGUCGGCGGAAACUGUCUGGCUAGAGUCCGGAAGAGGAGAGUGGAAUUCCUGGUGUAGCGGUGAAAUGCGCAGAUAUCAGGAAGAACACCUAUGGCGAAGGCAGCUCUCUGGGACGGUACUGACGCUGAGACGCGAAAGCGUGGGGAGCGAACAGG